AGGAGGCCCUGAGACAAAUCCCACAGGGACUGUGAAGGUGGCCCCGAUGGCACUUGGUCAGCAUUUCUGUAAGGCAGCUCAUUUCGGAGUUUCCUCUGUUGGACCUCAGACCAAAAGGCUUUGGCUUCCAAAGAGCAAUUAAACUGGAUCCAGAAACAUCACUGGGUAAAAUGCAUCAUGAGGUGCAGACCUCUUGGCUGACCACACUGACCUCUUAUGUAUGUGUGUGUAUAUAUCUAUAUAUAUAUAUAUAUAGAUAUAGAUAUAGAUAUUUGUGUCCAAUCUACCUCCUGUCUGCUUUUUUUUUCUGCAGCAAAGGUUCACUCUGAGCAUUUGGCUGCAAAAUACAUUGUAAAAUGUUGUUUUCUUGGAAUAAGUAUUUGAGGGCAUCUUCAACCUCCAUCAGGAAAGUAAAUCCCAGUAAAUAUUGAGCAGAGUAGCUUGAGUUAGCCAGACAGCUGCAGGUGCUUUAGCAGGAGUUUGAGAGCAGAAUUUCUUUCACCUGAGCUGGUCCUCUCCUAAUUAGUGAAAUUACAGGAAGGUUUGAGGGGAUGGAUAGAGAAUGCUGGUGUUGGGUUGCUGCUGAGAGCCAAGCUAUCUAGGAGGAAUGGCCCCUGGAGAACAGGAAACACAUUAGAGUGGUCAUCACUUUGCACCUGAGGUUGUAUGUAUAAGGCAUGGGAAUGGAGAGAGCCUGGUUUUGAUUGCAAAUGGAAGAAGCUAGAAAUACUGAAGCAGGGGACAACAAAUGUAAUGAAGAUAUUUACCUCUAGUCUCCUACAGGAUAAGCUUAGGCUGUGAUGCCAUUUUUGUUUUGUUUGUUCAAGUAAAAUGAAGGUUUGUCCCACUUGAAUUUAUCAGCCCUUCAGCAAGUGACUUAUGUGCAUCUGGUAGGACUGGACUGGCUUUGCAUCAGCCAUGUGGAUAGGAGGAAAAGAAAUGCCUUAUCCCUUUACAGUACUUGCUAUGCUGCUCAUUAGGUUCUAACUUUACUCUGCAGAACAAGAGAGUUCUUGAGUACUGACCUGUUCAAAAAGGCAUUGCCAAAGGCGUUGAGUUUCCUGAAUGGUUUUUUGGGAUCCACCACCAACGCGUUUCCAGGAACGAUUCCUUCCACAUCUCCUUGCAUCACUGCUAUAAAGGAGUCAGUUGUAGGCUCUGGUCCAAUCCUCAUCCCUGGGAAAUCCUGCUCCAGCAGGUACCUGUAAGUGAAAAAACAGGGUGUGGGCAUGAGCCAUGAGCUGCUAAGUCCUAAAUGAGUUGUACUGAAGAUUGCAGUGCAAUUAUGAAGCUCAAGAGCAUGGAUCCUUCCGAGACUAUUUUUAGCACUGUCACUCAAUUGUUUGAUAAAUGUCUUGGUAGCUUUUCUACUUAGGAUCUCAACACUGAAAGCUCAUUUCAGGUGGAUUAAGAAAUUAAGAUGAUUAUAGCUGCUGGGAAGAGAUUCUCAUCAUGUUGCAUCAUUUUAUGUACUUCAAUCCUCAAGACAUUUGGAGCAGACUCAGCACAGCAAAGUCAAACCAGCAGUUCACUGCAAUCACAGAGUUAAUCCUACUACACACUACUGUUAAACCACUACAAUCCUGAUAGUGGCUCUUGGUGCCACUAUCAAUUACUUGGCUGCUGCUCGUUUCAGCAGACUCAAACAACUAAUGUGCUUAGCCACCAGCCCACAUCAGCUGCUUAAACGCCAACUUCCCCAGCACUUGACUGAAGUCUCAGCCUCUGUCCUUGUGUGCUUCUGAAAUGCAGCCACAGGCCUGCACUACAAACUGCUCAAGCACACUGAGCACUACACACCUGGGUGGGGGAGUAUAUUCCAAGCUGUAUAUCAAGCCAGACAGCACACCGAGUACAGCUUCCCUUAUUAUUUCCUGAAGGUAGUUUGGCAAAUUUCAGGGAAAGAUAGUCACCCAUGGGGUUGUAGGGCUUUGAAUAGGACCCUGGCAGCACAUCCCAACUGACCCUGCCAAGUUCAGGGUGGGUCAAUGGUGUGUGCACGGGACAGUUCCCUUUGGCUCAUGAAGGUGCCAAAUGCCAUCACUGAGGCCUGGCCUGUUUGUGUGUGUGGGUGCAGGAAACCACCUGCUGAUGCUGUGCUGAAAACUUAGACUAGACCAUUAUGUGCAUGUGGCUUGCAGAAGGAGGCUAGAACUGGUCUAGCCCUCAGUAUGGGAUGGUGUCAGAAGUGACAAGUAGUAAGUUCUGGCUAGUUACAUGAAUAAAAAUACUACCAGACUAUGGAAGUUGGUAUAAUAAUGUGUUGCUUGUUGCCAGAGGGUAGUUGGCAUUCCCUCUUCCAUUGCCUUAACCUAAUCCUCAGUGGGUAGAAAGAUUAUUUCAGAAUUGCCAUGAUGUUAAAAGUAGAUUAUGGGGAUGUGGAAAUAGGAGAAGGACUGGAAAU
Molecule: long non-coding RNA, 2404 nt
Organism: Passer domesticus (house sparrow)
Lineage: Eukaryota; Metazoa; Chordata; Aves; Passeriformes; Passeridae
Exons: 2
Source: RefSeq, a predicted model, not a curated record